GGCGGGGGCGGGAGGAGGAGGAGGCGGGGCUUGCGGCCGGGCCCGCCCCCUCAGCUCCGGGCCGGCAGUUUAGCUCGGCGUGGCCGGGAUCCGAGUUUAUCUCUCGGCGGUGGGAGCGGGGCGGACGGGGAGCCUUCAGGAUGGCGGCAGAAGUGGAACUCAGCCAUGUCCAAUCAGCAUCUGAAAUGGCAGAGGGAGAGAAUGACACACACAUUUUUCAACCCACGAUGUUCCUGGAGCCUCAAGAGACGAGCAUUGAUAUGAAGGCACUUCUGGUCAAGAAAGUGACGAAAACUUGCAGCUGCACCCCAACUGAAGUUAAAGACCUGAUUUUCAGUUUUCUCCCUUUCUUGCAGUGGAUCCCCAAAUAUAAACUGAGAGAGUACCUCCUGGGAGAUAUAAUGUCUGGUGUGAUAGUGGGCAUCCUGCUGGUCCCACAGUCCAUUGCCUAUUCCCUGUUGGCUGGCCAAGAACCUAUAUAUGGUCUUUACACAUCCUUUUUUGCCAGCAUUAUUUAUUUCCUAUUUGGUACCUCUCGUCAUAUAUCAGUUGGCAUUUUUGGUGUGCUUUGCCUUAUGGUGGGACAGGUGGUGGAUCGUGAGGUACAGAGAGCUGGGUAUGACAUAGAGCCCAGUGUUCAUAGUGGCCUUCAGAGAGAGAUGGUUAUUUAUGUAAAUACCACCACUUUGGCUGUGAACCAGACAUCACAACCGCUGUUAUGUGAUAGAAGUUGCUAUGCAAUUACUGUGGGAGCCACGGUGACCUUCAUAGCUGGAGUUUAUCAGGUUGCUAUGGGCUUCUUUCAGGUGGGCUUUGUCUCAGUGUACCUCUCUGAUUCCUUACUCGGCGGAUUUGUGACAGGUGCCUCCUUUACUAUCCUAACGUCCCAAGUGAAGUAUCUUCUGGGCCUGGACAUUCCACGCAGCAAUGGCACUGGCUCCCUCAUAACCACUUGGAUAAACAUCUUCAAAAACAUCCACAAGACCAACAUCUGCGACCUCAUCACCAGCUUCUUGUGUCUCCUUGUCCUUAUCCCAACCAAAGAGCUGAAUGAUCACUUUAAAUCCAGGCUCAAGGCCCCCAUACCCAUUGAACUGGUCGUGGUUGUGGCAGCUACGCUGGCAUCUCAUUUUGGGAAGCUGAAGGAGAAUUAUGGCUCCAGUGUUGCUGGACACAUUCCAACUGGGUUCCUGCCACCCCAGCCACCCAAAUGGGAUCUGAUUUCUAGUGUGGCGAUGGAUGCUGUUGCCAUAGCCAUUAUUGGCUUCGCUAUCACUGUGUCCCUCUCAGAGAUGUUCGCCAAGAAGCAUGGUUACACAGUUAAGGCCAAUCAGGAAAUGUACGCCAUUGGCUUUUGCAACAUUAUUCCCUCUUUCUUCCACUGCUUCACAACUAGUGCAGCUCUUGCCAAGACUCUUGUCAAAGAGUCAACGGGCUGCAGAACUCAGAUCUCCGGGGUGGUGACUGCAUUGGUCCUCCUAUUAGUUCUGCUUUUGAUUGCACCUCUCUUCUACUCCCUUCAGAAAUGUGUCCUAGGGGUCAUAACCAUUGUGAACCUCAGAGGAGCCCUGCAGAAGUUCAGGGAUCUGCCCAAAAUGUGGCAUCUGAGCAAGGUGGACACAGUGAUCUGGUUAGUCACGAUGGUCGCUUCGGCACUGCUAAGUACUGAAAUUGGCCUGCUGAUUGGUGUCUGCUUCUCAAUGCUGUGCGUCAUUGUGAGGACUCAGAGACCAGAGGCACCAUUGCUUGGCUGGGUGGUAGAGACUGAAAUGUAUGAAUCCCUGUCUGCCUACAAAAACCUGAAGACUAAGCCAGGCAUUGUGGUUUUCCGUUUCGAAGCACCUCUCUACUAUAUCAACAAAGAAUGCUUUAAAUCCAUGCUGUAUAAGCGGACUGGAGUCAACCCAGCCGGGGUGAAUGCAGCCAAGAAAAGGGCAGCAAAGCGAAUGCUUAAAGAGAAAAUGGUGAAUUCUGGUGGCAGCCAGGUGGAUGUUGCAGUGCAGCUUGUCACUGAGCCAUUGGUGUUUCACACCCUAGUGAUUGACUGCUGCGCAAUACAGUUCUUGGACACAGCCGGGAUCCACACGCUUAAAGAGAUCUGCAAAGAUUAUGGGGAGAUAGGCAUCCAAGUGCUGCUGGCCCAGUGCAAUGCCUCUGUGAGGAGUUCCCUGCACCGGGGAGAAUACUUUAAAAAAGAGGAACAGAACCUCCUCUUCCACAGUGUGCACCAGGCUGUGGACUUUGCAUUGGCUGCACAUAAGCAAAAUGGGUGCUGGAAAGGUAACAACAAUGGGUAGGAUCAGGGGGGAAAAUUGUGGAUGUAUAUGUAAUGUGCGUGCUCUCACACAGGUAAAAAGCACCAAAGUACAGGGGUAUUGUUCAAAAACUGUAGUGUAGAGCACAUAGUGUGCUUUAAUCUUGCCCAACUGGAUAGGGUGAUUAGGUAAGUAGUGCUGAAUAUAGGCAUCCUCAAUGUGAUCAUGAUUAACUUGGUAAACCAAUGUUUUUCAUGAUCCUCCUGUGUAUUCCUUGUUCGGCUCUCCAUAUCCUAAUAAUAACCCAACAUUUAGAUCUGCACCCCUGAUGCCCUUAUUACUGCCACCAUCUUUCUGGAUUGAACUUCCUUUGACAGCUGUCAGUACUUCCCCUUAGUGAAUAGUUUGAGGCAACUACGCUUUUCCUCCCCAGUUCCCGGACUGGGCAUGCUGCCUUCAUAUCACUCAGUCCUUGUGCUGACCAAGGAAUGAGUGAGCGGGAACAGAUACCCAGCUCUGUUGGGUUGUUCUCUGACAUGACAGUGGAGAGAGUUUUCUGCUGGAUGAGGACCUGGGCCUGACUUUCACAAAGAGUUACAAUUUCACUCUGAGAAAAAGGAAGUGACAAGUAGAUUCCUGGAUGUAUGUGACUUGUGCAUGUUACAUAUGCAGCAGGUCAGGUACUGAAAGAACUUCAGGAAUCGGAGUGAUUUGAAAUCAAGGCAACAAGUCUCAGAGCCCAGGUGUGCAGAUUUGGGCUCACACUAUGGUGCUAAAACCAGCAGUAUAGAUGUUCGAGUUUGGGCUGGAGCUCAGGCUCUGGAACCCCCUUGCCUCGGAUUUCAGAGCCCAAGCUCCAGCCUGAGCUGGAACGUCUACAUAGCUAUUUUUAGUGUUUUAGCACAAGCCCAAGUCUAUAGACUCAGGCUCUGAGACUUGCUGCCUUGAUUUGUUUGAGUUCAGGCUGAGUGCAUGACCCUGAGGGUGUGAGUUUUCAUCCCUAAUGGGAAAGCAUUACAAUUUAUCUCACUGUCACAUUCUAUUGCUGUUAUCAGAGGGAUCUGCAGAGCAUGUACUCUGUAGGUUCAGGAGUACUUGUGGCACCUUAGAGACUAACCAAUUUAUUUGAGCACAAGCUUUCGUGAGCUACAGCUCACUUCAUCGGAUGCAGUGGUCCGAUGAAGUGAGCUGUAGCUCACGAAAGCUUAUGCUCAAAUAAAUUGGUUAGUCUCUAAGGUGCCACAAGUUCUCCUUUUCUUUCUGUAGGUUCAUACGCCUUUGAUUACACCUCUGAUUGCACAGAGUUUAAGCGUUUUCAGAAAUACAACUUGAUGCCUUUCUAGCUUGCAUGGGUUGGGUAUAUAUUAUACAGGCAGUUCAGAAUGAAAUGCUUUUAAUAAGUAACUCCUCAUAACCACUUCUAAUCAAAGAUGCCUUGCCACCUACUCUCUGACCUUGCCACCUAUUAUUCUUACCUAGUAGAUAAGGAUUGGAGCAAUGGUUUUCUUAUUUACACACAUGGUUGUAUAUUUGUUGGGAAAAUUUGUCUUUUUAUGUUGAGUUCCUUUGGACAAUCUUGACAGAUUUUUAUUUAAUGAUUUUUAGAGUACAGUACCAGGAAUGGAUUAUAGAUUGGAAGCUGUAAGGCAGGCUAAGUGUAGCCAGACUCAUGCUUGUAUUUAAUUAUUUGCUUAUAUUCAGUUAUUUGCCUAGCACUUAAGAGCAAUAGCAUGCUAUACUACAGAAUCAUAGGAAUUAGACCUAAUCUAUUAUUUUCAGUAAAGGACUGCAGUCAAUAUUGUGUGUCAUGCAGAUUGAAUCAUAUACGUUAGAAAUUGAAAAGGUGGGUGAGGUAAUAUCUUUUAUUGACCCAACUUCUAUUGGUGAGAGACAAGCCACCCCAGCUUUUCUUUACCUUGUCUCUCUAAUAGCCUGAGACCAAAAUAGCUACCACAAUAUUGGAAGCAGAAACGAAGAAGGCCUUUUAAAUUAUCCAUCCAAUCCCUAAUUUUGCAACUUUAAUGAAAACUUCAUGUACUGUUCAGUAGAAAUGAGUAACUUGUCCUUCACACAUGCAAAGUAACUGUGUUUAUGUAACAGGGAAGGGUUAAUACAAAAGAAAUGGAAACCAGUUAACAGAUCUUCAGCUGAGUUCUGUUUACACGCAGGAUCGCCAACUCCAGACAUUCAAAAAUCGAGAGUCAUGCCUUUAAAAAAAAAAAAAAUCAUGACAUUGGCUUAAAAAUUAGGAGGUUAAAUAAAAAUACAUUUUGUCUUCUGGUUUCUGAGCUGCUAGUUUAUACUUGGACCAUAUUUUCAAACUUUUCUCUGCAACCAUGAGGGGUUGAAACUUCUUUUUUUUAACAUGAAAGUGAGACGAUCGUGUAAUGACUUGACUCUAAGAGCAGGAGCUUUAAGAAAACACCAAAUAUCACAAGACUUGUGAUAGACUCACAAAACUUGGCAAUGCUGGAACUCAGAAUCCUCAAAUCUUCUGCAGUAGCAUACAGGCAUUUAGACAAGGUGUGAGCGGAUGAGGAUUUUUCAGGUUCCUGAGUUAAGAGCUUUAGAACUGUUUAAAGUUUUUUUUUAAAAAAAAAUAUUUUUUCACAGAAAUGUACUUGAUUGACCAGAACAUAGAAUGCUAUAGGUAAGUUCAGGAAUACAUGAAACAUUAGAUUAUAAUUAUUUUAUAAUGCUAAGAGUACAAAAAUGCAUUCCAAAAUAAACUACACUAAGCAAGUUCCUUUUUUCAGAGGAUUUAAGUAGAAUACAAUUUGUGAUCUUCCCACAAAGUUUACAAUCCUGCACAACUUUGAGAGAGGGAAAUACAACCAAAAUUCAUCUGUUCUAAAGGCUUGAGCCUGUGGCUGUUUAGAUAAGAAAUUGCAAUUGACUAGAUCCUGCUGUCCCACCGUAGUUUCCAUGGCCACGCUCUCCUCAAGUCAGUUUUUCAUAAAGCUCCAGGAAAAACUUCCUUGGCAGUAUAAAGCAUCAGUUUUGCAACAAGAAACAGUAGGUCUUGUCUGAACAUCAGUAGGAAAAUGUUAAGCCUCCAGAGUGCUUAGUACCUAAGCGUGCUUCUAUAACUCACAACAUUUAGGCUAAUGUCAAGAGACAACAAUUUUAUCGUAUGCACAAUGACACUUGAAGACUUGAGACUGACAGGACUAUGUCUAAGUGUAAAAGCCUGUACAUUCCAGCAGGGGGCUCUGCAUGUUCACAUAUUGUAGGAAGAAAAAACCAGCAUAUAUUGAGAAAUGUAGAGGUUAAGCACUAGAGGAAGAACUAAGCAUGAGAGUAAAUGAAAUGAAUGAGCUGAGUAUCAGCCAACGCAGUGUCUUGGCUGAAUUGCUUUCAUUAUGAUUGUUCACGGGACCAUAAAGUGCGACUGGAACAUUGAUUUUAUUCCUCCCCCUCCCCCCAUUAAACUGUUAAACGUUAAACUGUUUUAGUUUUAAAUACUGAUUAGCAACAUAUUUCAGGAGAACAGACUGAUAUUGGAGAAACAUUGUCCUUUGCUAUACUUUCACUUCCUAGUAAGUGUGGGCUUCCCACAAAAUUGCAGAACACUUGUUCAAAGCUGUUCCAUAUUCACUUUCAUAACAGAACCAUAAAAACCCUCAGGAAAUACAGUUUAGAGCUGUUAAUGCAGCGUGAUUAAGACACAGAACUAAUUUAUGUUCAGCUAAAAUGCAUAUUAUUUGGACACAAUAAGUGCUAUUCUUCUACAUGGACAACAAUGGGUUUUUUCCUCUUGGUAUACCCAAAUACCAUUAGAGACAAAACAAAAAACAACAGCUAAGCAGAAAAAUACCCUUCUGAACAAUUCUGUGUAAUACAAAAGUGUCCUGAGUGCCAUAGCUUAUGUGCAGGUUGUAUAUUAAUACACACAGCCCCACUCAGAGGUGUUCAUAGAUAAAUGUCAAAAAAGGUAGAGAACUAGAACACUACAAAUAAUACCUUUAAAUGUACAUGGGCACUAAAUAAAGAUUAGAGUUUACCAUUUCACAUGUUAUGUGAAACACAAUUACCAGGGUAUUUACUGUACUUGUUGCACUACUGAUGAGGAAGAAGGUCUAAUGCACUAAAGUCCAGUUAUAUAUAUAUGUGUGUGUGUGUGUGUGUAUAUGUUGGACUUUUAGUACUUUAGUGAUACAUAAAAGAAAAGAGGAAAUCAUUUGAGUUAGCAUAUUGGAAUGCAUACUCCACUCCAGAUUGUAGCAAUAAUUGUAAAUAAUACCUCCAGAACUCUGGGUCAGAUCCUCAUUUGGUGUGAAUUGGCCUAUAUUCAUUUGAACAGAGCAAGGCUGAGCUACACCCGCUGAGAAUUUAGUACUCUGAUACCAGAAAUCCUUAAUACAGCAAUCAUCAAUAUGAAUGAUGGAUUAUGAGAUCAUUAGCACAUUAAUUAAUUUUAAUGAUAUGGCAUUAUGGAAAUUAAUAUUCACAUAGUCUCAGUUAUAUACCUGCCAAGAGACUUAAUCUCUGCUUUUACUUAGAGCUGCUAUUUAUAGCAGUUUCAAUUACUCUUAAUGUAGGUAUUGCACUAAUAAAUGCUUUAGUUGUUUAAAAUGUUUUGAAACUCAAACAGUCUACUUAUUAAUAAAAUCUACUCAUUAAUAACAAAGACAAAUGUACUGCAGUGAGUUACAUGGCACUAAUUUUAAUCCUGGAUUUAUGGCCACAUCGUUAACCCUGGUCUUGUGCUUUGUAAUGACCCCCAGUGGAAUAAUUUCCCUGUAAAUCACUGCAGCUCCGUCCAUUUUUUUUUCUAAUUCAUUGCAAGAUGUGGGCCGUAAGCCAUUCUGGCAUUUGUUUCCCAUCUUUUAUUGUAAAAAGACAUAGCAUAUGACUGACUGUGAAUAGGAGACCCAUUGUCUUUGGAGAUAUGGCUUUUACCUUGUUUGCCAGAAGCUGGCACUUGAUAAUGACCUGUUCUGUUCAUUCCCUCUGGGGCACCUGGCAUUUGCCACUGUUGGUAGACAGGAUACUGGGCUAGAUGGACCUUUGGUCUGACCCAUUAUGGCCAUUCUUACAUUCUUAUUUUCAAUGCUAAAUCUUUUGAUACUGUGAUCCAAAGCAGCCAGAUGAAGAGUUUAAAAGAAGAAAUGAAUGACACCUGAAGAAAAGGGGGAGGAAAUUAUUGGGUGUUUGGGAGUUCAAAGCUCUAAACAUACCAUUAUUCAUAAUUUCUCCCUAUCUUUAGAUCAGAGGGAACGCUUUGUACCCUCACACGGCAGCAUAAGGAUUUGAGAAAUUUUGUAGACUAUCACAAAUAAUAUGUUACCCAGGAAAAUCAGAUCAUAAGUGUCUUUAUUAUGGGGGCUAUUAUGAAAUUGGCUUCUCCAUGUGUGCAUAGCGCUGUGCCUUAUUUCACAGUCAGUGUAGGAACAAUGCAGGGUCCCGAGUAGUUGCUGUGGGUCACUGUGUCUCAUUACAUACGUGCUAUGUACAGUAGGGUUUGUUUGUUUUCAGGCUUAUUUAUUUGUGUAUAAUUCUGUAUCCUCAACUCUACCAGCCUAGACUGCUGGGCUUUCAUUUCUCCUGCACUCUCUGUCAGGUUUCAGCAACUAAUGGAAAGUUAUACUCCAAGCCUUCCAAAGCGUCCAGUGGUGCCUCCAUAUCUACUUGUUGCUGCUGUCUGAGUUACUAACAAACCGUUUAAAACUCAUCAUAUGACGCUGGUGAGUCUAACAUGCUCAAUCAAGACAUCACAGGUGGCAAGGUACCUCUAAAAGGGUUUGGAACCCAAGGACUAUGAUUCAGUAAAAAUCCUUUUGCCUUUCACUUGUGCUGAACUCCACUGUGAAUUCUGGUUGCCUUGGAUCCUAGAUCUCCAUUGUUUUUAGUGCUAGAAAAAGACCAUAGAAAUUUAAAGCAAGAAAAGAUCCCUUAGGUCAGGGGUAGUCAAUUAUUUUUUGUCAAGGUAUAGUCGAGGUCCAGACUCCAA
Chelonia mydas (Green sea turtle) is the source of this 8208-nucleotide RNA transcript. It is a transcript of the gene named solute carrier family 26 member 2, with no coding region annotated. The record is from RefSeq and is a predicted model, not a curated record. The transcript is spliced from 4 exons. NCBI's taxonomy places the organism in Eukaryota, Metazoa, Chordata, Testudines, Cheloniidae.